RNAcentral lists this ribosomal RNA (467 nucleotides) under uncultured bacterium. RNAcentral's name for it is "partial 16S ribosomal RNA". It matches the Rfam family "Bacterial small subunit ribosomal RNA", at positions 28 to 507 of the family's 1533-position model. The record is from RNAcentral.
GACGAACGCUGGCGGCGUGCUUAACACAUGCAAGUCGAACGGAAAGGCCUCUUUCGGGGGGUACUCGCGUGGCGAACGGGUGAGUAACACGUAAGUAACUUGCCUUUCACUUUGGGUUAACUUCAUGAAACUGGGCCUAAUACCGGAUAGAAGCUCCUGUGCCAUGGGGGGGUUUGUAAAGUUUCGCGGUUUGGGGGUGGACUCGCGGUUUAUCAGCUUGUUGUUGGGGUGGUGGCUUACCAAGGCUUUGACGGGUAGCCGGACUGAGAGGGUGAUCGGCGACACUGGGACUGAGAUACGGCACAGACUCCUACGGGAGGCAGAAGUGGGGAAGAUUGAACAAGGGGUGGAAGGCUGAUGCAGCAACGCCGUGUGCGGGAGGACGGCCUUCGGGUUGUAAAACGCUUUCGCUCAUGACGAAGCUUUGUGUGACGGUAGUGGGUAAAGAAGCACCGGCUAACUACGUG